This 278-nucleotide ribosomal RNA is filed under the name Candidatus Korarchaeota archaeon NZ13-K. Its description in RNAcentral is "partial 16S ribosomal RNA". It matches the Rfam family "Archaeal small subunit ribosomal RNA", at positions 1 to 260 of the family's 1478-position model. Lineage: Archaea; Thermoproteati; Thermoproteota. The record is from RNAcentral.
ACCGGUUGAUCCUGCCGGAGGGAACCCCUAUCGGGCUCGCACUAAGCCAUGCGAGUCUGCUGGGAGCCCCUGCUCCCGGCGGCGCACGGCUCCGUAAUACACGGUCAACCUGCCCUAGGGACCGGGAUAACCUCGGGAAACUGAGGCUAAUCCCGGAUGGGGGUGGAUUCCUGGAAUGGGUCCACCCCGAAAGUAGGCGGGGGGAAGGCCCCGCUGAGGCCCUAGGAUGGGACCGUGGCCUAUCAGGUAGUAGGUGGGGUAACGGCCCACCUAGCCUA